This is a non-coding RNA of Pelobates cultripes (western spadefoot toad), 737 nucleotides long. NCBI's taxonomy places the organism in Eukaryota, Metazoa, Chordata, Amphibia, Anura, Pelobatidae. The record is from the annotation of a GenBank genome assembly.
GUGAGGGUGCUGUGUGUGUAAGGGUGCUAUGUGUGUGUGUGUGUAUGUAUGUAUGUGUAAGGGUGAUGUGUGUGAGGGAUCUGUGUGUAAGGGUGCUGUUAGUGUGUGUAUGUGUAAGGGUGCUGUGUGUGUGUGUGUGUGUGUGAGGGUGCUGUUAGUGUGUGCUGUGUGUGUGUGACGGUGCUGUUAGUGUGUGGGUGCUGAUUGUGGGGGGAUAUUAACUAAACGGUUUAGUUAAUAUCCCCCCUCCCCUCUUACCUUUUGUAGGGAGGGGGGGCCGUGCUGCUAACAUCCCUGGAGGUCCAGUGGAGAGUGAACGCUAGCCCUGCAGGCUAGAGUUCACUCUUGCGAGAUCUGAGCAUUGCCGCAGCAACACUCCGACCUCGCGAGAGGAAUCCGGUGGAGCUGCUGGCUAGAGCUCCCCGCUCCUCUCCUGCCUCCCUCCCUGCCUGUGGGUCGGUGAGGGAGAUCUUUGAUCUCUCUCACCGGCCCACGGAGGGAGGCACAUAGUGCGGGCUGCGGGGAUAAGGGUGUGCCCAGGCACACCCGGCACACCCAGUGCGCACGCCUAUGGGUGAGACCUCACUUGGAGUAUUGUACGCAGUACUGGAGACCGUAUCUCCAGAAGGAUAUUGAUACUUUAGAGAGAGUUCAGAGAAGGGCUACUAAACUGGUUCAUGGAUUGUAGGAUAAUACUUACAAGGAAAUGUUCAAGGAACUUAACAUGUAUAGCUUGG